UGAUUAAGGCUUAUUAUCAAUAUCAAGGGU
This 30-nucleotide non-coding RNA is filed under the name Rattus norvegicus (Norway rat). The record is from RNAcentral. Lineage: Eukaryota; Metazoa; Chordata; Mammalia; Rodentia; Muridae.